This 491-nucleotide ribosomal RNA is filed under the name uncultured bacterium. RNAcentral's name for it is "partial 16S ribosomal RNA". It matches the Rfam family "Bacterial small subunit ribosomal RNA", at positions 29 to 523 of the family's 1533-position model. The record is from RNAcentral.
AUUGAACGCUGGCGGCAUGCCUUACACAUGCAAGUCGAACGGCAGCACGGGUGCUUGCACCUGGUGGCGAGUGGCGAACGGGUGAGUAAUACAUCGGAACGUACCUUAUCGUGGGGGAUAACGCAGCGAAAGCUGUGCUAAUACCGCAUACGCCCUGAGGGGGAAAGCGGGGGAUCGCAAGACCUCGCGCGAUUAGAGCGGCCGAUGCCUGAUUAGCUAGUUGGUGGGGUAAAAGCCCACCAAGGCGACGAUCAGUAGCUGGUCUGAGAGGACGAUCAGCCACACGGGGACUGGGACACGGCCCAGACUCCUACGGGAGGCAGCAGUGGGGAAUAUUGGACAAUGGGCGAAAGCCUGAUCCAGCCAUGCCGCGUGAGUGAUGAAGGCCUUAGGGUUGUAAACCACUGUCGGGAGGGACGAAUGCCCCGCAAGGGGAGCGACGGUACCUCCAAAGGAAGCACCGGCUAACUCCGUGCCAGCAGCCGCCGUAA